GAUGGUAUGGCUCAGUGGUAGAGCAUGUGCUUAGCAUGCACAAGGUCCUGGGUUCGAUCCUCACUACCUCCA
This 72-nucleotide transfer RNA is filed under the name Camelus dromedarius (Arabian camel). It matches the Rfam family "tRNA". Rfam says of the family: Transfer RNA (tRNA) molecules are approximately 80 nucleotides in length. Their secondary structure includes four short double-helical elements and three loops (D, anti-codon, and T loops). Further hydrogen bonds mediate the characteristic L-shaped molecular structure. tRNAs have two regions of fundamental functional importance: the anti-codon, which is responsible for specific mRNA codon recognition, and the 3' end, to which the tRNAs corresponding amino acid is attached (by aminoacyl-tRNA synthetases). tRNAs cope with the degeneracy of the genetic code in two manners: having more than one tRNA (with a specific anti-codon) for a particular amino acid; and 'wobble' base-pairing, i.e. permitting non-standard base-pairing at the 3rd anti-codon position. The record is from Rfam by way of RNAcentral. Lineage: Eukaryota; Metazoa; Chordata; Mammalia; Artiodactyla; Camelidae. RNAcentral also lists the same sequence under 1 other name.